CAAGUCGAACGGUAACAGGAAGAAGCUUGCUUCUUUGCUGACGAGUGGCGGACGGGUGAGUAAUGUCUGGGAAACUGCCUGAUGGAGGGGGAUAACUACUGGAAACGGUAGCUAAUACCGCAUAACGUCGCAAGACCAAAGAGGGGGACCUUCGGGCCUCUUGCCAUCGGAUGUGCCCAGAUGGGAUUAGCUAGUAGGUGGGGUAACGGCUCACCUAGGCGACGAUCCCUAGCUGGUCUGAGAGGAUGACCAGCCACACUGGAACUGAGACACGGUCCAGACUCCUACGGGAGGCAGCAGUGGGGAAUAUUGCACAAUGGGCGCAAGCCUGAUGCAGCCAUGCCGCGUGUAUGAAGAAGGCCUUCGGGUUGUAAAGUACUUUCAGCGGGGAGGAAGGGAGUAAAGUUAAUACCUUUGCUCAUUGACGUUACCCGCAGAAGAAGCACCGGCUAACUCCGUGCCAGCAGCCGCGGUAAUACGGAGGGUGCAAGCGUUAAUCGGAAUUACUGGGCGUAAAGCGCACGCAGGCGGUUUGUUAAGUCAGAUGUGAAAUCCCCGGGCUCAACCUGGGAACUGCAUCUGAUACUGGCAAGCUUGAGUCUCGUAGAGGGGGGGUAGAAUUCCAGGUGUAGCGGUGAAAUGCGUAGAGAUCUGGAGGAAUACCGGUGGCGAAGGCGGCCCCCUGGA
Molecule: ribosomal RNA, 687 nt
Filed under: uncultured Escherichia sp.
Lineage: Bacteria; Pseudomonadati; Pseudomonadota; Gammaproteobacteria; Enterobacterales; Enterobacteriaceae
Description: bacterial SSU rRNA
Rfam family: Bacterial small subunit ribosomal RNA
Source: RNAcentral